RNAcentral lists this ribosomal RNA (328 nucleotides) under uncultured bacterium. RNAcentral describes it as "bacterial SSU rRNA". It matches the Rfam family "Bacterial small subunit ribosomal RNA", at positions 8 to 333 of the family's 1533-position model. The record is from RNAcentral.
AGAGUUUGAUCCUGGCUCAGGACGAACNCUGGCGGCGCGCUUAACACAUGCAAGUCGUGCGGUACCGAUGGCAAGUCUUCUUGACGAGCCUUCGGUAUAGCGGCGGACGGGUGAGUAACACGUGAGUAGCUGUCCUAGGGAGGGGGAUAACGCCUGGAAACGGGUGCUAAAACCCCAUAAGCCUCGAAAGAGGUAAAAGUGCAUCACUGCAGUCCUAGGGUGUGCUCGCGGCCUAUCAGCUAGUUGGUGAGGUAAGGGCUCACCAAGGCCAAGACGGGUAGCCGGCCUGAGAGGGUGUACGGCCACACUGGAAUUGAGAUACGGUCCA